GGGCGCACGUGCUCGAGCGUCGCGCGCCAAUUUUUCGCGCAUCACCGUCGCGCAGCGUCGUGCACUCUUCCAUCCUUCAUUCUCGAGCUUUCUUGUUCUUUCGCACCGCGUUUCACAGGUCGUUAGAUACCACGGAUCUCUUGAGAAAAUUACAGAAACCCACGUGGCAAGAAAAGUGGAUAUUUGGAAAAGGUUGAGCAGCUGACAGUCAACUGUGUAUUCAAAAUAUACAACAUACGUUUUAGAAAAUGACACGUAAAAGAAAAAGUAACGACUGCUAUUCAGAUAGACAUAAACGUCGACUCGUUGAACAACAAACUAAAUGAAGUAUUAUUAGAAUGAAGCACGUUGAGCACGUAUAGUACGAAAUGUAAAGUCGUGAACCGAACGCUUUUUUUAAAAUAUACAUGAAAAUAAGUAUAGUUUUUUCUCGAUUUAAACUUAUUAUUAUAAUAUUAUAAUAAUUGAAUUAUUUUUAAAUCAAUAAUGCAUAUGAAAAUAUAGGUUAUAAUAAUUAAGCUGAUACAGGGCAGUCUUUUGCUAUACAC
Molecule: long non-coding RNA, 548 nt
Organism: Neodiprion fabricii
Lineage: Eukaryota; Metazoa; Arthropoda; Insecta; Hymenoptera; Diprionidae
Exons: 3
Source: RefSeq, a predicted model, not a curated record